RNAcentral lists this long non-coding RNA (213 nucleotides) under Elaeis guineensis (African oil palm). RNAcentral describes it as "long non-coding RNA (EGUI_LNC004677)". Lineage: Eukaryota; Viridiplantae; Streptophyta; Magnoliopsida; Arecales; Arecaceae. The record is from RNAcentral.
GGGUUAAGGGUAUAUGUGGCUUAAUUAGGUCUAGCUUGAGCAGUUGAUCAAACUGAAUCAAAUAUUGAUUAGGAUUAGGUCAAAUAUGCUCAUGACCAAUCCAAUUAGUUGUAAUUUGAUUAGAUUGAUUAACAGCCAUAUGUUAUCGAUCAACUUAAGAUUUAAUUUGGCUCAGUGAUUCGAGUCCAGGUCAAUAAACAAACUUGAUCGAUU